Molecule: ribosomal RNA, 183 nt
Filed under: Trichoderma atroviride
Lineage: Eukaryota; Fungi; Ascomycota; Sordariomycetes; Hypocreales; Hypocreaceae
Description: internal transcribed spacer 1 (ITS1)
Source: RNAcentral
CCGAGUUUACAACUCCCAAACCCAAUGUGAACCAUACCAAACUGUUGCCUCGGCGGGGUCACGCCCCGGGUGCGUCGCAGCCCCGGAACCAGGCGCCCGCCGGAGGGACCAACCAAACUCUUUCUGUAGUCCCCUCGCGGACGUUAUUUCUCACAGCUCUGAGCAAAAAUUCAAAAUGAAUCA